ACGUGCCUUAGGACCAGCUUAAAUAGGGCGUUUUGAUCCCUUUUUACUGCUAAAUCCUGCUUAUAGAACUUGUUUCAUAGUUCUUUCCGUGAUUAUUUCUAAUUUAGAAAAUGUAGCCCAUUUCUUCCAUCUCAGUUAGCUACACCUUGACCUGACUUGUUAGCUGUAGUUGGCUAUUUUGCUUACUUUUGUGCCUUCAUAGGGUAGGCUGGUGACGGCGGUAUAUAGGCGGUAUUGGCAAGGGAUGGUAGGGUGAAUCGUGGAUUAUCGAUUAUAGAACAGGCUCCUCUAGGUGGGUUUAGGGCACCGCCAAGUCCUUAGAGUUUUAAGCGUUUUGCUUGUAGUUCUCUGGCGGAUAUUUUUGUAUGUUAAAUAUCUGGAUUUAAGGCUAAGCAU
Molecule: ribosomal RNA, 396 nt
Filed under: Pyxis arachnoides
Lineage: Eukaryota; Metazoa; Chordata; Testudines; Testudinidae
Description: partial 12S small subunit ribosomal RNA
Source: RNAcentral